This 402-nucleotide ribosomal RNA is filed under the name uncultured bacterium. RNAcentral's name for it is "bacterial SSU rRNA". It matches the Rfam family "Bacterial small subunit ribosomal RNA", at positions 355 to 775 of the family's 1533-position model. The record is from RNAcentral.
UAGGGAAUAUUAGAAUGGACGCAAGUCUGAUCUAGCGACACCGCGUGUGCGAAGAAGGCCUUCGGGUUGUAAAGCACUUUUUGGAAGGAAUAGGAAGGAAGGUACUUCCAGAAUAAGUCUCGGCUAACUACGUGCCAGCAGCCGCGGUAACACGUAGGAGGCGAACGUUAUCCGGAUUUACUGGGCGUAAAGCGCGUGUAGGUGGUUCUGUAAGUAGGGCGUGAAAGCUCCUGGCUCAACUGGGAGAGGCCGUUCUAAACUGCAGAGCUAGAGGAUGGUAGAGGGGGGUGGAAGUCCAGGUGUAGCGGUGGAAUGCGCAGAUAUCUGGAGGAACACCAGUGGCGAAGGCGGCCUCCUGGACCAUUCCUGACACUCAGACGCGAAAGCUAGGGUAGCAAACGG